GGAGCGCGGGUGAUCUUUCUCACUUAAGUUUGGAGGCAGCGUAACUUAUAGGAGAGGAUGUGAUGUCAUCAGGACCCUCUUCUGUGAAGAGUCCGUGUUCAGCCUCUGAGGUGGAAUAGCGUGAGAAAAGAUUUCUGCAGCACUUCAGUUGUGACCCAAAUCUUGGGCUUGUUUAUUGUUGCAGCAUUGUUUUUAAUGGUGCUUCUGGGAUUUUGCUGUGAUGUCUUCCGUUGAGAUUCAGACAGACAGCAUUCCUUCCUGAAGUCAGAUCAGUUGCUGCAGACUGCUGUCUCUCAGCCAUUUGGGCCACUCUCAUCAUGUCCAGAUCUGCAGAAUACCAAGUCAAGUCCUGUGUUGUGGACAUGGACUGCAAGUUGUAUUCCUUGGCAGAUAUUUUAUUUUAUGUAGUAUUUACUUCUUUUUGCAGAUUAAAGAAGACCUGGGAAUGUUUUACAGCAUCUCUCCACCUGCACUUUUCAUCUCUGAGCCCAUGCAUUGCUGAUACACAUCUGAGUACUUCAGCUCUGUUGUUCUCUGCAAUUGUUCAUUGUUAUUUCUCUGCAGAAGCCUCUGUGUGCAAGGCUGGAGGGACUUCCGCCAUGCCAAAAACCCUCUCCAUACAUACUUCAACAUUGAGAGGCCAGCCUGCCAUCUCUGUGUGACCACACACACUGGUAAGGGUUUUGACUUCCUGUGGGUUAGCACAUGCAGUCUCAACAGCUUUGCUCGGCUCCUAUUUGAUUCUUUUUUUUGGUAUUUUCUGGCUUUCAUGCUUUUUCUUCUUUUCACUGUGGGAGGAGUUGUUCCAUUACUCCUUUGGAAAGCAUACCCCUGUUCCUAGCUGUGAGAAACCGGGCACUACUGAGUGAUGAAACUGCUGUUUUAUGGGAAAAUGAGCCGGACAGUGAAAAAUGCAACAAGACAGUGAGUUGGGUCAAGCAGCUUCACCACAGCAGCAAGUGUAGCUAGGUUGUGAGAUAAAAUAAGGAAUUCCUUUGACUUCAGCCUGCUUUCAUAUGGCACUUAGUUCUCUAAUCCAGGCAUGCCCAACCCGCAGGCCUCACUGCCCGGCCCAGCCCGUCCUGCAGCCGCCUCCUGCCCCAUGCCAUCAUGGCAGUGGCUCUUCCCGCUGAGUGGCCCGGCCCUCUGUGUUCACCCAUCACUGACACAGCCACACAGCGGUGUGUGAUUGGCGCUACAUAAGCUCAACCAGGACACGCGCAGGGCACAGUGCUGCUCUAUCUCCACCUCUGGCACCCACCACACACUCAGUCAAAUCAAAACCCAUGUGUGCCACUGGGUGACUGAGAUGCAGUAAUUACCCAUAGUAACAUUUCAGCCUUCCUAAUGUUUUCUCAAGACAUAACAGAGCUCCCAAAAGAAGCAAAAUUGUGGUUCAAGGAGAAGCGUUUAAAGAAAAAUGGACAGAUGGGUACUUUUUUGUUGAGGUAAAACUGAGUUACUGCUGUUGAGUUACACCUCGGACGGACUCAGCUAUAAAGGCCAGUGAUGUGGUGGCAAGUCUGAUGGCAGAAGCAGCAAAACCAUCUGCUGGUGGUGAGCUUAUUGAGCAGUGCAGUGAGGACAGCAGUGAGGACAGCACCAGAGAUGUAAUUGGCCCUGUUUGAAAAGCGGAUUUCUCUAAAAUCAGUUGGCAUCACUCAACUAUUGGCAGGUGGACUGAAGAAAUGGACAAAUCUGUGGCAAGAAAGUUGCAGAGUAAAGCUGUUAAUUUCAGGAGUUGUCCUUUGGUGACAGAUGAAAUUAGUGAUGCUACAGAUACAACUCGCUCAACCUGCUGUUUUCAUGGAAGGUACUGAUAAGGGAUAUGAUGUCACAGAAUCGCAGAAUUGUAGGGGUUGNCCUAUGCUUCAGUUUGUGGCCAUUUCUCCUUGUCCUGUUGCCACGCACCGCUGAAAAGAGUCUGGCCUCGUCCUUUUGUCUCCCAUGCCAUAGAUAUUUAUAGACCUGGAUCAGAUCCCACAGGAUUGAUAUGACAUAAAACCAGGGACUUGACACGGUAGAAUUGUGUAAGAAUUGUAACCAUCCAAUUCUCCUCACAUCUUCCCUUACUCAGCUUAUCCUGAAACUAAUGCAUGUCGUUCUACACAAAAGAUUGUUCCUGUCCAUUGUGAACCCUAUACCUACUCUCCCCCACCUUUUUUUUUUUCUCCCAAGAUACUCUUCACAGUGGAAUAAGUUCACAGAUUUCUGCUACACACAAUGUCUUGAGCUUCUUUUGCCUUACUGGCUUUCUAGACCAACUUGCCAGCUUUUAGGGUUAGAAAAUAGUUGGAUCAUGGUAGCUUGCUGACAGUGCCAGGUAUUGCUACUGACUCUGUUUAGAAUUCAAAAGCAAAACUAGGAAUUAACAUUGUGUUAAGGAGCAGAGAAAUCUUUAGAAACCAUAGUAUGGCUUGGGUUGAAAGGGACCACAAGGAUCGAGUUCCAACCCUCCUGCCCACGGGCAGGGUUGCUAGCUGCUAGAUCAAGUACUANUUUUGAUGUGGACAAAGCAGUGAAAAUGGCAUUAAAGUGAUUUUAUUUAACCUUUGUUGUCACAUCUGGUAGAGAUACUGAUGGUGCCCAGGCAGUGGUUGGUAAAAAAGAGAAGCUUAUAGAAUUCAUAGAAGAAAAUGGAAUUGCUGCCAGGAACUCAGGUUUGAUGAAACAUCUCUGCAUGGUACAUCAGGGAAAUAUAUGCAGAAAAGCUUUAAAAAUGGGUACUGUCAUGUCAAUUGUCAUCAAGUGAGUGAAUUUCACGAAGCCCAAGGAAUUGAACCAUCACCAAUUCCAGGCAUUCCUAAAAGUAUGGAUGCUGACAAUGGAGACAUCAUUUACUUUUUAAAGUAAGGUGUGUAAGUCAUGGUAAAAUGCUAACCAGUUUUAGGAUUUGCAAAAUGAAAUGAAAUCAUUUCUGGAAUCAAAAUGAACAUUUGUGUCAGAACGUGAGGCUGAAAAUGUGUCACAGAUUUAAUGCAUCUGGUGGAUAUGGCCUCUCAUUUAAGUAAGUAAACAUGUCUUCAAGGUGUAAACCAACUUACCUGUGCUGUGUUUCAAGCCAUAGCAGCGUUCAAAAUGAAUCAAAUUAUGGGUGGUCCAAGUUAUGGCAAAUGAUUUUAUGCAUUUUGACAUGUCAAGAGAGGUGAAGUUUCAGCUCUGCAGGCCCUCCCUGCCUUUAAAUACAGAAGCAAAAUGGGUCAGCGUAUAUGGAGUUUGUAGAGAUAAUGAUCUGUAUUCAGUUUAUUUAUGUCAAAGAAUCUAGCAAGGGGACGUGCAAAAAGGAAGGGACAAAAUCCUGCAGGGAAUGUACAGGUUGGCAAAUUGAGGAAUGUGGCCCAGCAGGAGGUGAGUUAAGAAUUAAUUUUCUCAAUGCCUGCUGAGGAGAUUUCAGGUGGAAAAGGGAGCAGAGAAAUCCUAUCAUGGACCCUGGUCAGAUGUGAAGUUAUUUCAGCACAGAUUGGAGUGGCCGUUUCAAUGGGUGCUUUUCUUCUUUUGAAACACUACUGGGGAAGAUGGUGACAUGUUCAGUCUCCAUGCCCUCAUGGAAAUAGUGAAACCUUACAACUCAGAGAAAGAGACAAAAAUUACACCCAUUUAAUGGAGAAGAUACUGCAAAACAGAGAGAGGUUGGGGCAUCAGAGCUGAGUUUUGGAUAUGAUUGGUUUAUUGUUCAUCUCAUGGAAGGCUCAGCUGUCCAGCACAGCGGUGCCNCGGCAGUGAGGAGCAGGAGGCAGGUGCCAGCCACUCGAACCCAGAGGUAAACAUCACAGAUGGAAUUCGGCGUGUUCUCAUUACUUGUUCCUGCAGGUAGAAAGGCAAGAGAGGAAAGGAGAGAGGAUCCAGCUGCAGACAUCUCCCUUCUUAUUGAAAUGCCUGUAGUUCAAUGCAGACUUUAAUUUGGUCUCUUACGACCAAAGCAGCACUGCUGGAAGAGCCCCUGCCUCCCCACAGCUGGGUUACCUGUGUCCAGGCCCUGUCGUGAGUUGUCCUUCGUGCUGACCUGGCUGCUCUGGGUGGUGGCAGUGGGUNUUAAUUCAUGCUGUUCCAAGCAAUUCAGCAUUGCUGGCAGAGCCCCUGCCUCCCCAUAGCUGGGUUACCUGCAUGUGCGCUCUGUUGUGAGUUGUCCUUCCUGGUGACCUGGGUGCUCUGGGUGGUGGCUGCGGGUGUGGUGGGUGCUGCUGUUGUUGCGACUGGAUAGAAGAAAUAAGUGAAUAUGGAGAGGUACAACAGAAGAGGUUCCUCCAAUCUGCUCCAGGACACGGCCAUCAGAGGAGAAACUAUUAUAGGGUCUGCUUUGAACAGUGAUGCUUUUACAUGCUGCCAAUCCCUGGAAACAGAAGGAUUUGGGCUCCUAAUUUCUUAUCAGCCCCCUUAGGAUGUGUGAGCUCUUUGUUAUCUGUGUUAUAAAACAUGUCCUGAGAGUCAUGCGGAUUUUUGAGUUUCUUUUUGAGGUGCUGUAAGCAUAUGGGAGCUGUAGGGACUUAGAGGAAGGAUGU
Pavo cristatus (Indian peafowl) is the source of this 4499-nucleotide long non-coding RNA. NCBI's taxonomy places the organism in Eukaryota, Metazoa, Chordata, Aves, Galliformes, Phasianidae. The record is from Ensembl.